Molecule: ribosomal RNA, 376 nt
Filed under: uncultured organism
Description: partial 16S ribosomal RNA
Rfam family: Bacterial small subunit ribosomal RNA
Source: RNAcentral
GUAGGGAGCGAGCGUUGUCCGGAAUUAUUGGGCGUAAAGAGCUCGUAGGCGGUUUGGUAAGUCAGAUGUGAAAACUCAGGGCUCAACCCUGAGAGGCCAUCUGAUACUGCCAUGACUAGAGUCCGGUAGAGGAGUGUGGAAUUUCUGGUGUAGCGGUGAAAUGCGCAGAUAUCAGAAGGAACACCAACGGCGAAGGCAGCACUCUGGGCCGGUACUGACGCUGAGGAGCGAAAGCGUGGGGAGCAAACAGGAUUAGAUACCCUGGUAGUCCACGCCCGUAAACGCUGGGCACUAGGUGUGGGACCCUUAUCAACGGGUUCCGUGCCGUAGCUAACGCAUUAAGUGCCCCCCGCCUGGGAGUACGGCCGCAAGGCUA